This 497-nucleotide ribosomal RNA is filed under the name uncultured bacterium. RNAcentral describes it as "partial 16S ribosomal RNA". It matches the Rfam family "Bacterial small subunit ribosomal RNA", at positions 28 to 507 of the family's 1533-position model. The record is from RNAcentral.
GAUGAACGCUGGCGGCGUGCCUAAUACAUGCAAGUCGAGCGAACAGACGAGGCGCUUGCUCCUCUGACGUUAGCGGCGGACGUGUGAGUAACACGUGUAUAACCUACCUAUAAGACUGGUAUAACUUCGGGAAACCGGAUCUAAUACCGGAUAAUAUAUUGAACCGCAUUGUUCAAUAGUGAAAGACGGUUUUGCUGUCACUUCUAGAUGGAUCCGCGCCGCAUUAGCUAGUUGGUACGGUAACGGCUUAACAAGGCAACGAUGCGUAGCCGACCUGAGAGGGUGAUAGGCGACAUUGGAACUGAAACACGGUCAAGACGCCUAAGGGAGGCAGCAGUAGGGAAGCUUCCGCAAUGGGCGAAAGCCUGACGGAGCAACGCCGCGUGAGUGAUGAAGGUCUUCGGAUCGUAAAACUCUGUUAUGAGGGAAGAACAAAUGUGUAAGUAACUAUGCACGGCUUGACGGUACCUAAUCAGAAAGCAACGGCUAACUACGUG